Molecule: ribosomal RNA, 434 nt
Filed under: uncultured Lachnospiraceae bacterium
Lineage: Bacteria; Bacillati; Bacillota; Clostridia; Lachnospirales; Lachnospiraceae
Description: bacterial SSU rRNA
Rfam family: Bacterial small subunit ribosomal RNA
Source: RNAcentral
ACGGGAGGCAGCAGUGGGGAAUAUUGGACAAUGGGCGAAAGCCUGAUCCAGCGACGCCGCGUGAGUGAAGAAGUAUUUCGGUAUGUAAAGCUCUAUCAGCAGGGAAGAUAAUGACGGUACCUGACUAAGAAGCCCCGGCUAACUACGUGCCAGCAGCCGCGGUAAUACGUAGGGGGCAAGCGUUAUCCGGAUUUACUGGGUGUAAAGGGAGCGUAGAUGGUAUGGCAAGCCUGAUGUGAAAACCCAGGGCUCAACCCUGGGACUGCAUUGGAAACUGUCAAACUAGAGUGCAGGAGAGGUAAGUGGAAUUCCUAGUGUAGCGGUGAAAUGCGUAGAUAUUAGGAGGAACACCAGUGGCGAAGGCGGCUUGCUGGACGACAACUGACGCUGAGGCGCGAAAGCGUGGGGAGCAAACAGGAUUAGAUACCCUGGUA